This 492-nucleotide ribosomal RNA is filed under the name uncultured bacterium. RNAcentral's name for it is "partial 16S ribosomal RNA". It matches the Rfam family "Bacterial small subunit ribosomal RNA", at positions 29 to 507 of the family's 1533-position model. The record is from RNAcentral.
AGUGAACGCUGGCGGUAGGCCUAACACAUGCAAGUCGAACGGCAGCACAGUAAGAGCUUGCUCUUACGGGUGGCGAGUGGCGGACGGGUGAGGAAUAAAUCGGAAUCUACUUUUUCGUGGGGGAUAACGUAGGGAAACUUACGCUAAUACCGCAUACGACCUACGGGUGAAAGCAGGGGAUCUUCGGACCUUGCGCGAUUGAAUGAGCCGAUGUCGGCUUAGCUAGUUGGCGGGGUAAAGGCCCACCAAGGCGACGAUCCGUAGCUGGUCUGAGAGGGUGAUCAGCCACACUGGAACUGAGACACGGUCCAGACUCCUACGGGAGGCAGCAGUGGGGAAUAUUGGACAAUGGGCGCAAGCCUGAUCCAGCCAUACCGCGUGGGUGAAGAAGGCCUUCGGGUUGUAAAGCCCUUUUGUUGGGAAAGAAAAGCAGCAGGUUAAUACCCCGCUGUUCUGACGGUACCCAAAGAAUAAGCACCGGCUAACUUCGUG